UACAGAGACUGCAAGCGUUGUUCGGAUUCAUUGGGCGUAAAGGGUGCGCAGGCGGUUUGUUAAGUCGGAUGUGAAAUCUCACAGCCUAACUGUGAUAGGUCAUUCGAAACUGGCAGACUUGAGGAUUGGAGAGGAGACUGGAAUAGUUGGUGUAGCAGUGAAAUGCGUAGAGAUCAACUAGCACACCGGUGGCGAAGGCGAGUCUCUGGACAAUUCCUGACGCUCAGGCACGAAAGCCAGGGGAGCAAACGGG
Molecule: ribosomal RNA, 253 nt
Filed under: uncultured prokaryote
Description: partial 16S ribosomal RNA
Rfam family: Bacterial small subunit ribosomal RNA
Source: RNAcentral